UGAAUCCGCGCGGGAGAGUUCCCGGGGACAUGACGUUCCCCCCGGGACGCCGAAGGAGCAAGUUCCUCCCUUGAAUCUCUCAGGCCCCGUACCGCGCGGGCGAG
Molecule: non-coding RNA, 104 nt
Filed under: Streptomyces silvensis
Lineage: Bacteria; Bacillati; Actinomycetota; Actinomycetes; Kitasatosporales; Streptomycetaceae
Description: Glycine sequence
Rfam family: Glycine riboswitch aptamer
About the family: This family represents the bacterial glycine riboswitch. Glycine riboswitches usually consist of two metabolite-binding aptamers domains with similar structures in tandem.
Source: Rfam by way of RNAcentral